This 228-nucleotide long non-coding RNA is filed under the name Elaeis guineensis (African oil palm). RNAcentral's name for it is "long non-coding RNA (EGUI_LNC006236)". The record is from RNAcentral. Lineage: Eukaryota; Viridiplantae; Streptophyta; Magnoliopsida; Arecales; Arecaceae.
AUUGGGCGCUGAUGCUGCAGAUGGAAGUCAUCUGCUGUAGAAGCUCAGACGGAGACUUUUUGUUGGAGAAGUCCGAUAAGAGUCCGAUUGCUAGAAGAGUCCGUCUGGAGUUUGCCUGAUGUAGAAGCUCGUCCGAGGACUGUCCGUCGGAGAGGUCCGGUUUCAUGAGGAAUCCGAUAGAGGGUCGACCGACAGUGGGGUUCGGAUGGCAUUGUGGAGGUUCGUCCG